RNAcentral lists this unclassified non-coding RNA (348 nucleotides) under soil metagenome. RNAcentral's name for it is "partial contains 5.8S ribosomal RNA, internal transcribed spacer 2, and large subunit ribosomal RNA". The stretch from base 1 to 120 matches the Rfam family "5.8S ribosomal RNA", at positions 35 to 154 of the family's 154-position model. The record is from RNAcentral.
GAUGAAGAACGUAGCGAAAUGCGAUAAUUAAUGUGAAUUGCAGAAUUCCGUGAAUCAUCGAGUUUUUGAACGCACAUUGCGCCCGCCAGUAUUCUGGCGGGCAUGCCUGUCCGAGCGUCAUUUCAACCCUCGAACCCCUCCGGGGGGUCGGCGUUGGGGAUCGGCACUUACCUGCCGGCCCCGAAAUACAGUGGCGGUCUCGCCGCAGCCUCUCCUGCGCAGUAGUUUGCACACUCGCACCGGGAGCGCGGCGCGUCCACGGCCGUAAAACAACCCAAACUUCUGAAAUGUUGACCUCGGAUCAGGUAGGAAUACCCGCUGAACUUAAGCAUAUCAAUAAGCGGAGGA